Molecule: small nucleolar RNA, 83 nt
Filed under: Gossypium arboreum
Lineage: Eukaryota; Viridiplantae; Streptophyta; Magnoliopsida; Malvales; Malvaceae
Description: Plant small nucleolar RNA R71
Rfam family: Plant small nucleolar RNA R71
About the family: R71 is a member of the C/D box family of snoRNAs containing the C (UGAUGA) and D (CUGA) box motifs. Multiple nearly identical copies of this snoRNA have been identified in Arabidopsis, and it is thought to function as a 2'-O-ribose methylation guide for 18S ribosomal RNA.
Source: Rfam by way of RNAcentral
AUUUUGUGAUGAGGGCACUUUCGUAAUAAUUCUUUGUACCUUUCCCAUGCCUCAUACAAGGACUCAUCAUCCAUUUGUUGGAA